CAGGAACAAAAUUCUCUGUAAACAGAGAAUCUACAAUGGUGACUUUGAGGGUGGAAUCACACAGGGAUCAUUGGAUAUGCCCAAUAAACGAUCGGAUUACACCUUUUUGACUCGUAUUUCCGACAACAACAACCUCCGAUAUAAGUUUUCCGGUGGAGCUAGUAGCGGUGGAUGCGAGUCAUCUCAAAAGUCUCACUCCGGAGAAAAGGAGGAGGAAAGAGGAGAAUCUGAUUGGGAGUUGACGAACUUGAUCACUGAUCAGAGGAUGCAGCAGAAUCGGCAGUCGAGUUUUCCCGCGUCGAUUGGUGGUUUGCAGAGACAAUCGAGUGGGAGUAGUUAUACUGAAAGUUCUUUAUCAGAUGAUUACUUCAUUCCGUCGUCCUUCGCUGCGACAAGUAGUGGUGGCGGCGGCGAUGAUGAUGCAUACGUUCACUUAUCUGAUGGCGGUGACGGCCAGCCGUUGUUGAGGUUGGAGUUGACGGAGGCAGGUGAUGGUGACGGAUGGUAUUCUUCGUUGAAAAGUUGGGCACAACAAGCGGAGGAGGGUUAUAAAUUGCAGUUGGCUUUGGCGCUACGGCUUACGUCAGAAGCUACGUGUACGGAUGAUCCUAAUUUACUGGAUCCCGUUCUGGAUGAAACUGCGACCUCGCGAUCAUCUAUGGCUUCUGCUUCUUCUGCAGAAGAUUUGUCACGUCGAUUCUGGGCAAAUGGUUGUUUAUCUUACUUUGACAAGGUCCCAGAUGGGUUUUACGUUAUCCAUGGAAUGGAUCCAUAUGUAUGGGCGGUAUGCAGUAAUCGGCAACAGAGUGGACAAAUUCCAUCACUUGAGUCACUAAAAGCUGUUAAUGCUCGAACUGAAUCUGCAAUCGAAGUCGUUUUGAUUGACAGACUUGGUGAUUCCAGCCUCAGGGAACUGCAGAACCGUAUUCGUAGCAUUUUCUGUAACAGCGGCACCACAACAGACGUUGUUGACCAACUUGCAAAACUCAUUUGCAAUAAAAUGGGAGGUGCCGCUUCAGCUGGAGAAGAGGACUUGGUUCUAUUGUGGAAGGAGUGCAGUAAUGACUUGAAGGAACGUCUAGGAUCUGUUGUACUUCCAAUGGGUAGUCUCUCUGCUGGCCUCUGCAGACAUCGGGCUCUACUGUUUAAAGUCUUAGCUGACACCAUUGAUUUACCAUGUCGAAUAGCCAAGGGUUGCAAAUAUUGCAGAAGAGAUGAUGCCUCAUCUUGCCUUGUUCGUUUUGGCGACAGGGAGGUCCUUGUUGAUUUGGUUGGAAACCCCGGUUGCCUCUGUGAACCUGACUCUCUAAUAAAUGGUCCAUCUUCCAUCUCAAUAUUUUCCCCAUUGCACUUUCCGCGAUUUAGACAUAUUAACUCCGUGGUUGAUUUUGAGUCCCUCGCCAGACGGUACUUCGUAGACUGUGAAUCAUUAAAUCUGGUGUUUGAAGAUCCACCUACUAGUGAUGGAGCUUUUGGGGGUGCUCUCUUUCCUCGGCAAUCUGAUAGAAAUUACGUUGAUCUUGAUAUGGUUAGUCCAAUCAACAACGAAGGUAACCUCGACGUGGAGGUUUUUGACAUUCCAUGGACCAAUAUGGCUUUAAAAGAGAAAAUUGGAGAAGGUUCUUUUGGUACUGUUCGUCGUGCUGUUUGGGAUGGUUUUGACGUCGCUGUGAAGACUCUUUUCAUGGAACAAGAUUUUCAUCCUGAGAGAUUCAACGAGUUCUGGCAGGAGGUUGCAAUAAUGAGGCGCCUGCAUCAUCCAAAUAUCGUUCUUUUUAUGGGUGUUGUUACUCAACCCCCGAAUCUGUCAAUAGUCACUGAAUAUUUAUCAAGAGGUAGUUUGUUUAGGCUUUUGCACAAACCUGGUCCAAAAGAGGUGUUGAAUGUGCGUGGUCGUCUACGGAUGGCUUUUGAUGUGGCGAAAGGAAUGAAUUAUCUUCACAAACGCAAUCCUCCCAUUGUUCAUCGGGAUUUGAAAUCUCCCAAUCUUUUAGUUGAUGAAAAUUAUACUGUCAAGGUAUGUGAUUUUGGCUUAUCACGGUUAAAAGCAAAUACAUUUCUUUCGUCCAAGUCUCUCGCAGGGACUCCCCAGUGGAUGGCACCAGAAGUCCUAAAUGAUGAACCAUCAAAUGAGAAAUCAGAUGUGUAUAGCUUUGGGGUUAUUUUGUGGGAGCUGGUUACUUUGCAGGAGCCUUGGAGUUAUCUAAAUGCUCCUCAGGUUGUGGCAGCAGUAGGCUAUAGGCACAAAAGGCUCGAGAUUCCUCGUGAUAUAAAUCGUCAACUAGCAGCCUUGAUGGAAGCCUGCUGGGAACAUGAGUCAUGGAAGCGCCCGUCCUUUGCCAGUAUCAUGGAAUCUUUGAAACCAUUGGUAAAACCUCUUACUCGUCAACCAAGUUAUGUGGAUGCUUCAGUACUACCCUGAUGGUAUUAUGUCUAAUAUGCAGAUAUGUGGAGAUUCAUCGAUGGAUUAAUCUUUGAUAAAGGUUUGGUAAAUUGAAGGAUCAUUUUGGCUGUUUUGAAGUUGUUGAAGGACUGUGCCUUGCUUAAAAGGUAUUCGGAAGGGUAGCGGAGCAACAGGACUUUUUUUAGGAGGGCUGAACUGAAACUUCGUCUAAUAUAAAAGCUUUAAGCUCUCUUUUCUUUGAUGUUGAAAUCUAUUGUAUCAUAUGACACUCAGUUAUUUCAUAUGCGGUUCCGUUCCGUUUCAAUGAGAAUGAAAGUUACGGUAAGAAUAGUGAGAAGAGAUCU
Molecule: RNA transcript, 2748 nt
Organism: Cynara cardunculus var. scolymus (artichoke)
Lineage: Eukaryota; Viridiplantae; Streptophyta; Magnoliopsida; Asterales; Asteraceae
Gene name: serine/threonine-protein kinase CTR1
Exons: 16
Source: RefSeq, a predicted model, not a curated record